GGUGGUUCAGUGGUAGAAUUCUCGCCUGCC
This 30-nucleotide non-coding RNA is filed under the name Callithrix jacchus (white-tufted-ear marmoset). The record is from RNAcentral. RNAcentral also lists the same sequence under 5 other names. Lineage: Eukaryota; Metazoa; Chordata; Mammalia; Primates; Cebidae.